CUUUGGUCAGGUUGGGUCAGCUCAGCUAAGAAACAUCUACACUGAUGCCAGCUCAGAAACUAACAUUGCUGAUGUUGUGAAAGCUGGGCUCAGAAACUAACAUUUCCACUGAUGCAGCUCAGAUAUUACACCUUCUGAGGUCUACCGUAUGCUGUAUGUGUUCUUUGAUUUGCUUUGUUCCUGUUUGCAUUUUGACUCCUUAAUAAGCUAUUUCUGAUUAACUUUACCUGAAGAAGAUUCAUUAUUUUAAGAAGAAAUCAAACCUCUCACAAUUGACGAGCCAGUCAGGAGGUAUCGACCCUCAACCACAAGAUCCUUUCGAGGACAACAGACCUGAAGAGAAUCCCUUUCCUAGAAGCAGAGGGGCUGUGAUCUUGGUGAAUAUAAAGUGUGUUUACUACACUGAACAGGGGUAACAUGGUCGGCUGUGAUAAGAGAGGGAGUGGGUACUCAAAGCCAUAACCACAGAUGGUGACUAGGCUGAUUCUGAUGAUGAUUCAACCAACGGAACAAGGGGGGAAUUUGAAUGAUUUACUGUAGUGUUGAAUAUGUCUAAAAUGAAUGUAGGGAAAUUAAUGGUAAUGUUAUUUCUAACAAUGGGUUAGCAACAGUGUGUUAUACAAAACUGAUACAUCUGUGGGUGUUGCAUAAGAGAAUAGCACAAGAUAUAAUGGAGUUUUGUGUAAUUGUGUAUGGAGCAAAGGAAUUGCUCCCAUUGUGUUACAAAUAGAUGAUUGGGCAUGCAUAUACUAUUCAGCGGAUAGUGAUCAUUUUUAUAAUUAUAGCUCCAGUUUUUAAGAGAUUCUGAUCUCCAUAAAAGAACUGGUAGUGUAAUAAACAUGGGGAUAUUAAAAGGAAAUGGGUUAGUAAAGUUUAGUAGACCCUCCACAAGAAUAGUAGAAAGAUGGCAUUUGGAUGAGUGUUAUUAGUGAGGAUGGAUGUGUAAGAGGGGUGGGAAUAAUACACUUGUGGUAUGAAUGUGGAGAAGGUUGAAGGUAUACUAACAUACAACCUAUGGGAUAUAAUAAGUUUUGUAUUAACAUAGUUUAAAAAAUAAAUAGAUUACUAAUGAUAAGAAUUAAACCACAUGUGUAAUUGUUUUUCCUUGUGCACACAGAUAAAACACACAAUGUUUCUGGAUUAUCAGGAAAUAAAUUUGGAUCCCACUUAAAAUAGAAAUAAUUGGAUUGGAUGAUUAUGCAUUAAAUAUGAUUUUGGCACCUGACAUUGAGGAUAUUCAGGGAAGGAGUAUGUUUGUCAGUUCACACACUGAUGGUCACUCUCGUUAUGUUAUGUUAUCAAAAGUGUCAGAUUAAACAGAAGGGUAAGAAUAUCAACUAUCUAAGAAGGUAAUUACUUUUGGUAACUGGGUAGAAUGUAGGUGACGGAGCCCAGGAUAAACAUUGGUUUCUGCUGACAUUGGUAAAGAAGAAACACAAAUGUAACUUUUAGUGCUGUGUCUCGCAUCAUGCUAGGGAAAUAAGACCAAAUUUGGUCAAGGAAAUUACGUAACUGAUGCCAGCUCAGACAUUACACCUUCUGAGGCCUACCAUAUGUUGUAUGUGUUCUUUGAUUUGCUUUGUUCCUGUUUGAAUUUUGAUUCCUGAAUAAACUAUUUUUGAUUAACUUUA
This is a long non-coding RNA of Acipenser ruthenus (sterlet), 1631 nucleotides long. RefSeq lists it as uncharacterized. The record is from RefSeq and is a predicted model, not a curated record. Lineage: Eukaryota; Metazoa; Chordata; Actinopteri; Acipenseriformes; Acipenseridae. The transcript has 2 exons.